This is a long non-coding RNA of Mytilus californianus (California mussel), 551 nucleotides long. RefSeq lists it as uncharacterized. Lineage: Eukaryota; Metazoa; Mollusca; Bivalvia; Mytilida; Mytilidae. The transcript has 4 exons. The record is from RefSeq and is a predicted model, not a curated record.
AUGGUUAUAGCAAGACACCAAUUAUUAGAAGAUCAUCUGCUUGUAUCGAUGCAAAUGAUAAAAGAGAAGAACAUGCCUACAGCAGGUCCAAACCCCCCUCUUGUAGGGAACUAUUUCAAGAAAGUGUAUUGGACUCUUUUGUUGAAAACAUCAGAAUAAAUGACAAAAACCAGCCAGAACCAGAUGAUAUAAGAGUAAGUGGCGUUUUUAUAAUGCAAAGAGCAAGAUCAUUAAUAAACCAGGAAAUUAAAAAUGUAAGCACUAAAAGAAUGGGAGAACAAAGUCUGCUACUAACCAGGAAGAAAAUGGAGCAUUUAUCCGAAGAUUCAAGUAAAUUGUGCGAUUCCAUUAUAGAGGAAAUGAAAAACAGGACACCAUUUUUUUUGGAAAUAAUGCUGUCUGCAUUUGAUGAAAAACAUCUACAAGGGCAAAAAAGUCGAAUAACUGGAUCAUUGGCUAUAGUAUACAGCAUUCUUAUGUUUGCAAGAAAUGCAGAAAUGAGUGCAUUCCAACGGAUGAUGACAGCGAUUUGUAUAAGGGGACGAGCAGAA